UACGAAGGAUGCAAGCGUUAUCCGGAUUUAUUGGGCUUAAAGGGUGCGUAGGCGGACUUAUAAGUCAGUGGUGAAAUCUCGUUGCUUAACAACGAACGUGCCAUUGAUACUGUAGGUCUUGAGUACAGAUGCCGUUGGCGGAAUGUGUCAUGUAGCGGUGAAAUGCAUAGAUAUGACACAGAACACCGAUUGCGAAGGCAGCUGACGAAACUGUAACUGACGCUGAGGCACGAAAGCGUGGGGAUCAAACAGG
This 253-nucleotide ribosomal RNA is filed under the name uncultured bacterium. RNAcentral's name for it is "partial 16S ribosomal RNA". It matches the Rfam family "Bacterial small subunit ribosomal RNA", at positions 524 to 776 of the family's 1533-position model. The record is from RNAcentral.